GAUGAACGCUGGCGGCGUGCCUAAUACAUGCAAGUCGAGCGAACAGAUGAGGAGCUUGCUCCUCUGACGUUAGCGGCGGACGGGUGAGUAACACGUGGAUAACCUACCUAUAAGACUAGGAUAACUUCGGGAAACCGGAGCUAAUACCGGAUAAUAUAUUGAACCGCAUGGUUCAAUAGUGAAAGACGGUUUUGCUGUCACUUAUAGAUGGAUCCGCGCCGCAUUAGCUAGUUGGUAAGGUAACGGCUUACCAAGGCAACGAUGCGUAGCCGACCUGAGAGGGUGAUCGGCCACACUGGAACUGAGACACGGUCCAGACUCCUACGGGAGGCAGCAGUAGGGAAUCUUCCGCAAAGGGCGAAAGCUUGACGGAGCAACGCCGCGUGAGUGAUGAAGGUCUUCGGAUCGUAAAACUCUGUUAUUAGGGAAGAACAAAUGUGUAAGUAACUAUGCACGUCUUGACGGUACCUAAUCAGAAAGCCACGGCUAACUACGUG
Molecule: ribosomal RNA, 497 nt
Filed under: uncultured bacterium
Lineage: Bacteria
Description: partial 16S ribosomal RNA
Rfam family: Bacterial small subunit ribosomal RNA
Source: RNAcentral